GUCUAGUAAUGGGCUUUCUAUGUAUAGAGCUUAAAAAUCUCUUUAUUCUUUCCCAAAGGAUGUAGAACCUCCAGCUCAGACUCCUCCAGCUGCUAGCUGUGACGGAGAAGCUGUAGAAGGUCCAUCAGUUGAAUGCAUUGAAAACACACCAGAAGCAUCAGAGAAGAAAGAAGAAUCUCUGGGUGUUCAUGUCUUGAAGGAUGAAGAACCUAUGGAAAGUGAUGGAGAUACUGAAAACACACCAGAAGCAUCAGA
This is a long non-coding RNA of Xenopus tropicalis (tropical clawed frog), 255 nucleotides long. RefSeq lists it as uncharacterized. The transcript has 4 exons. Lineage: Eukaryota; Metazoa; Chordata; Amphibia; Anura; Pipidae. The record is from RefSeq and is a predicted model, not a curated record.